AGAGUUUGAUCCUGGCUCAGAUUGAACGCUGGCGGCAUGCCUAACACAUGCAAGUCGCACGCGAAAGGGGGCAACCCCGAGUAGAGUGGCGGACGGGUGCGUAAUACGCGGGAAUCUACCCACGAGUGGGGGACAACCCGGGGAAACCCGGGCUAAUACCGCAUGAGACCUACGGGUGAAAGCGGGGGAUCGCAAGACCUCGCGCUGGUGGAUGAGCCUGCGUCCGAUUAGCUAGUUGGUAGGGUAAAAGCCUACCAAGGCAACGAUCGGUAGCUGGUCUGAGAGGACGACCAGCCACACUGGGACUGAGACACGGCCCAGACUCCUACGGGAGGCAGCAGUGGGGAAUAUUGGACAAUGGGGGCAACCCUGAUCCAGCAAUGCCGCGUGUGUGAAGAAGGCCUUCGGGUUGUAAAGCACUUUCGAUGGGGACAAACGUGUCGGGCUUAACACGUCCGGCCUUGAUGGUACCCAGAGAAGAAGCACCGGCUAACUCUGUGCCAGCAGCCGCGGUAAUACAGAGGGUGCAAGCGUUAAUCGGAAUUACUGGGCGUAAAGCGUGCGUAGGUGGUUGGAAAAGUCAGGUGUGAAAUCCCCGAGCUCAACUUGGGAAUUGCGCUUGAUACUGUCCGGCUAGAGUGUGGUAGAGGGUAGUGGAAUUCCGCAUGUAGCGGUGAAAUGCGUAGAUAUGCGGAGGAACAUCAGUGGCGAAGGCGGCUACCUGGACCAACACUGACACUGAGGCACGAAAGCGUGGGUAGCAAACAGGAUUAGAUACCCUGGUAGUCC
This 789-nucleotide ribosomal RNA is filed under the name uncultured bacterium. RNAcentral's name for it is "bacterial SSU rRNA". It matches the Rfam family "Bacterial small subunit ribosomal RNA", at positions 8 to 796 of the family's 1533-position model. The record is from RNAcentral.